RNAcentral lists this transfer RNA (61 nucleotides) under Rhipicephalus appendiculatus. RNAcentral describes it as "tRNA-Leu". Lineage: Eukaryota; Metazoa; Arthropoda; Arachnida; Ixodida; Ixodidae. The record is from RNAcentral.
UUCAGCUUGGCAGAUAAAUGCAGUAAAUUUAGAAUUUACUUAUGAAAUACUUCAGCUGAAA